Molecule: long non-coding RNA, 456 nt
Filed under: Vulpes vulpes (red fox)
Lineage: Eukaryota; Metazoa; Chordata; Mammalia; Carnivora; Canidae
Description: lncRNA (ENSVVUG00000016402.1)
Source: RNAcentral
AUGACGAAAACAUUUAAGUGUGUGGAAAAUGGAGGUAAAGAUCACUGCCUUGAAAUCAAGAUGUUUGUGGUCUUUCUGAGGUAUCCACUCCUGGAUAUGGUGUUAUCCUCUCUAAUUCCUUGCGUUCCUCAUCUGAUGAAGCUUUGUGUUGCAGGGACAUCUAAGGGCAUUUUUCUGAGAGCCCAUCUGUACGGUAAGAAUGAUGGAAUGUGCGAGUGGAAGAGGAGGACACUACCAAAGUGUCCACGUGACCAAGAACCACAGAAAGCAGAGGAUUAGAAAGGCCAAGAACCACAGAAAGAGGAGGACACUACCAAAGUGUCCAAGUGACCAAGAACCACAGAAAGCAGAGGAUUAGAAAGGCCAAGACAAGAAAUAAUUACAGUAAAAUUUUGCUCAAGGCUUCACUUGAGUUAGUCACCUCCUUUAUAAUAAAGUAAGUUACAUUUAUUGUCA